UAAUCAGAGGAUGCUGGGAGGAAUCUAAGAAAUUAUCUGAUUUCUUAGCAAAUGGGGAAACUGAGGCUCUGUGGUCAGAUAGAUAGUGAGAAGGCCAAUCAAGAUUUGUCUCAGGUUCUUAGACCACAAGCUCAUGGCUCUUUGCACCAUAUCCCAUGGUUAGACAUCCAUGUUUAAAACAUUUUACAUGUUUUACAUGUUUGGGGGUGAGAGUAACUUUAGCCAAGGUCAUGGUUCCUGAGUUUGUGGUGGUUCAUUGAAGAAUGCAGUGAGUGGGAGGAAGGAAUAGGAUCAGCUUGGUCUCCAUUUGGGAUGAGGGAGCAGAGAGUCUCUCCAGGGUCCAGGAGCAUCUUCCCAGGGACCUAUGGUUGUCUCCAGCCUUACUGAAAGCCUCUAUGGGUCCUCUGAGCCCCACCCUAUCUGGGGAUUGCCCUCCCUCCCCCACAACAAAUGACUUCAGUCAGCAACCUCUGCCUUUAAUUAGAACCAGAGAAAGACUGGCAAGGUGCCCAAGGCUGAGCCUGUGGUUUUCUGGCAGGCUAUCAGAGUCCUCUCUUCUCAGUCUGCAUCACGAGGCUGGCUGAGGUUCCUCAGAAAGCCCCACCAUGCCAAUUCAAGGAAGGGUGGGGCAGGGACCUCAAUGGGGCCCAUGGCUGUAGCCAGAGAAUGGGACCCAGGCUAGGGGCCCCAGCCCCUCCCCCUAGACACUCACAGACUCUUCCCCUAACAAUGAGACCUAAGGAAAGCAGAGGUUAGAGGCCCCUGUGAUUACACUAUGCCAAAGGGGGAUCACUAAGGGGGGGAAGGCAGCAUGAGACUCCUAAGGGAAGAGAAGGGACCUUAUUUUCCUCAUCUUUCCUACACUUUCACCCUUGCUUCUUGUUCCUCUAGUGAGAAGGAUCUAAGAUCCAAAAUCUACAAAAGCAAGCCACUUAAAUUCUCUGAUCCUCAGUUUUCUCAUCUGUAAAUGGGGAUCAUAAUAAAAUUAAAAGUACUCCAUUAUAGUAAAUUAAGAUCUACUCCCUCUACAUCAAGAAGGCCUGGGUUCAAAUUCUACCUCUCAAGUCAUCUAACCGCUCAGUGAUUGAGGUAACUCUUUAUCUUAGGGUUCAAUGAUUUCCAAGGGAUCCAUGGAUAGAUUACAAGGAAUUUAUAAAUUGGACAGGAAAAAAAAACACAUUACAUCUUUGUUUUCACUGAGAUCCACCUGAAAUAUAGCAUUUCCUCCAAUUAUUUUAAAAAUGGAACAUUUUUCUUAGAAAGGCUUCACCAGAUUGAACAGGGAGGGGGUCAGUGAUACAAAGCAGUCUAAGAAUGUCAGCUCUAAGACUACACAUUGCAGAGAAGGUGCUAACUUGCACAGGGGGAGGUAGUUUCUCACCUGGGAGUUCCUGUACAGACAUCAUCACAAAUUAGGCCCCUAUUCCUGUCCCUUAACAGGAUCCUCAAAUUUCCAAUUGGAAGGGACCAUAUGGACCUAUUUAAAUAAAAGACUCCCCUGAAACAUUCCCCCAAAGUAGUCAUCUAGACUUCCCCUUGAAGACCUCCAACCAUGGGAAACUCACGAUGGUAUGAACUCAUUCCACUAUUCUAGACCCUUUUCGGAAUGCAAAGGUCCCUCUGCACCUUUCCCUGAAUUCCUCCUAGCUCUACCUCUGGAGCUGAGCACGAUUAGGUUAAAUCCUCUCCUGUGGGACAUUGCCCACCCUCUGCAUUUGCAGGCAGAUCUCUUGUAGCUAAGCCUGCUGUUCCUCCUCCUUCUCCCCCCACCAUGUACCCCAAGGGCAAGAGAAGCACACCAUAAACCUUAGAGAGUUUGGAGCUCCCAACAGUGGACAGGGUAGAAUAGAGACAGCUUCCCUCCUCUCAGGCCCCCCACCAAAUCUAAGUGACUCAUAUCCUGAUUCCAGACCCUUCAUCUCUCCCACAGCCUUAGCAGAGUUGUGCUCCCUUUUAGGGCCCCCUUCUCCCACCCCCACACCCCCAGGAUGCUGGAAGAAGAUUAAAAAAGGGAGGGAGAAGGGCUGGUCUGCAGCUGCAGCCCCCUCUGGCUGUGGGUGUAGUCUCCAUUUUCCUCCAAAGACCACACUGCUAUGGGGAGGAUGGGGUGGGGGUAGGAGCUUUCAUUUUUCCUUCCCCCGGGAGUUCAGGAAACCUUAAUUGUAGGGAAGGGAGGGUGAGGCCAGAUGUGGCACAGCCAGGCAGCCUAGCAUCAUCUACAUCAACUUGGGGGCUAGGGAUGAAUUGGCAGCCUUGAACAUGCACACACACACACAUACACACACACACACACACACACACACACACACACACCUCCUUAUAAAAAGCCAACUUUCCACUCUAACAUCAUAAGCUAAACACCCAUAUUUUUAUAAAGGGAAACUGAGACCUAGGAAGGCUUCUCUCCCUCCUACCGGGAACCAGUUCAUAGCAGUAUCUACCCUGACCAGUAACUCUGCCCCAGAAGUCCUUUGUUUGGGUCUACCAGCCAAUAAGAGGCCAGGAGAUUCCACCAUAUAUAGGAUCAUGGGAUUGAUGUCUGGUUCAGACUCUAGAAACCAAAGGAUUAUAAAAUUGGUCAUGUAGGGCCAUCUCCAUCACAUCUUGGCAUGCCAGCUAUGUGGCUCAUGGUCAAGUUAGAUUCCUACCCUGAAUCUCAGUUUUCUCCUUUAUAAAAAGGAGAAAAUAAUACUUGCAGCCCCCUCACUCCCCCCCUACUACCACCUAGUGUUGUUUGGAAGGAAGCACUUGCAAACCUUAACCCUCUGUAGAAAUAAGAGUUGGUUCUUAUCAUUAUUCUAGGCAUUCAGGAUCUUAGCUUUCUUCUGUUCUGGGGAGAAAAAUUUCUGUCCUGCUCCCAGAGACGGUCCAAGUUCCAGAUAAACAGCUCCCACCAUCUCAUCCCUUGGGACGGCUAGUGCAGGAACCUUUGGUUUCCCAUCCUGCUUCGCCGGAGCUGAUAAGAGUGCUGGAUUUGGAAAAGGGCUCAAGUUCAAAUCCUGCCUUGGCCACUUCACCCUUGUGUGCCACUACUCAAUUCUGCCUUUCUUCAUUUGUAAAAUGAGAAACUUGGAUUA
Non-coding RNA from Monodelphis domestica (gray short-tailed opossum), 3077 nucleotides. Lineage: Eukaryota; Metazoa; Chordata; Mammalia; Didelphimorphia; Didelphidae. The record is from RefSeq and is a predicted model, not a curated record.